RNAcentral lists this ribosomal RNA (181 nucleotides) under uncultured bacterium. Its description in RNAcentral is "partial 16S ribosomal RNA". It matches the Rfam family "Bacterial small subunit ribosomal RNA", at positions 1320 to 1500 of the family's 1533-position model. The record is from RNAcentral.
AUGAAGCUGGAAUCGCUAGUAAUCGCGAAUCAGAAUGUCGCGGUGAAUACGUUCCCGGGCCUUGUACACACCGCCCGUCACACCAUGGGAGUUGGAAGCACCCGAAGUCGGUGACCUGACCGAAAGGGAGGAGCCGCCGAAGGUGAAGCCAGCGACUGGGGUGAAGUCGUAACAAGGUAGC